ACUUUUAUAGCUUAUUAAAGCACCAACCUUGUAAAUUGGAGACUGAAGACUUAACCCUUCUAAAAGUA
This 68-nucleotide transfer RNA is filed under the name Sphenodon punctatus (tuatara). Its description in RNAcentral is "tRNA-Thr". It matches the Rfam family "tRNA". Rfam says of the family: Transfer RNA (tRNA) molecules are approximately 80 nucleotides in length. Their secondary structure includes four short double-helical elements and three loops (D, anti-codon, and T loops). The record is from RNAcentral. Lineage: Eukaryota; Metazoa; Chordata; Lepidosauria; Sphenodontia; Sphenodontidae.